GAGGAUAUAUCUAUGGUCUUUGUUUUAGGUUUACCUCGAACAAAGAAGGGGAGGGAUAGCAUAUUUGUUGUCGUGGAUAGAUUCUCGAAAAUGGCACACUUUAUACCAUGUCAUAAAAGCGAUGAUGCUGUUAAUGUUGCUGAUUUGUUCUUUCGUGAAAUUAUUCGCUUGCAUGGUGUGCCAAAUACUAUUGUUUCAGAUCGUGAUACUAAAUUUCUUAGCCACUUUUGGAGAUGUUUAUGGGCUAAGUUGGGGACUAAACUGCUUUUUAGUACUACUUGUCACCCCCAAACUGAUGGACAAACUGAAGUAGUCAAUAGAACGUUGUCUACUAUGCUUAGGGCUGUUUUGAAGAAUAAUAAGAAAAUGUGGGAGGAAUGCUUGCCUCAUAUUGAAUUUGCUUAUAAUCGUUCAUUGCAUUCUACUACUAAGAUGUGCCCUUUUGAAGUUGUGUAUGGUUUCCUACCUCAUGCACCUAUUGAUUUGUUGCCUCUUCCAUCUUCGGAGAAGGUUAAUUUUGAUGCUAAACAACGUGCUGAAUUGAUUUUAAAAAUGCAUGAGUUAACUAAGGAAAACAUUAAGCGGAUGAAUGCUAAAUAUAAACUUGCUGGAGAUAAGGGUAGAAAACAUGUUGUGUUUGCACCUGGAGAUCUUGUUUGGUUACAUUUGCGUAAGGAUAGAUUUCCCGAUUUGCGCAAAUCAAAGCUAAUGCCACGUGCUGAUGGUCCCUUUAAGGUGUUAGAGAAAAUAAAU
This 753-nucleotide ribosomal RNA is filed under the name Triticum aestivum (bread wheat). RNAcentral describes it as "partial small subunit ribosomal RNA". Lineage: Eukaryota; Viridiplantae; Streptophyta; Magnoliopsida; Poales; Poaceae. The record is from RNAcentral.